Molecule: ribosomal RNA, 720 nt
Filed under: bacterium T297
Lineage: Bacteria
Description: bacterial SSU rRNA
Rfam family: Bacterial small subunit ribosomal RNA
Source: RNAcentral
ACAUGCAAGUCGAGCGGCAGCGACAUCAACAAUCCUUCGGGUGCGUUGAUGGGCGGCGAGCGGCGGACGGGUGAGUAAUGCCUGGGAAUAUGCCCUGAUGUGGGGGAUAACCAUUGGAAACGAUGGCUAAUACCGCAUAAUCUCUUCGGAGCAAAGAGGGGGACCUUCGGGCCUCUCGCGUCAGGAUUAGCCCAGGUGAGAUUAGCUAGUUGGUGAGGUAAGAGCUCACCAAGGCGACGAUCUCUAGCUGGUCUGAGAGGAUGAUCAGCCACACUGGAACUGAGACACGGUCCAGACUCCUACGGGAGGCAGCAGUGGGGAAUAUUGCACAAUGGGGGAAACCCUGAUGCAGCCAUGCCGCGUGUGUGAAGAAGGCCUUCGGGUUGUAAAGCACUUUCAGUCGUGAGGAAGGCGUUAUCGUUAAUAGCGGUAGUGUUUGACGUUAGCGACAGAAGAAGCACCGGCUAACUCCGUGCCAGCAGCCGCGGUAAUACGGAGGGUGCGAGCGUUAAUCGGAAUUACUGGGCGUAAAGCGCAUGCAGGCGGCUUGUUAAGCCAGAUGUGAAAGCCCGGGGCUCAACCUCGGAAUAGCAUUUGGAACUGGCAGGCUAGAGUCUUGUAGAGGGGGGUAGAAUUUCAGGUGUAGCGGUGAAAUGCGUAGAGAUCUGAAGGAAUACCGGUGGCGAAGGCGGCCCCCUGGACAAAGACUGACGCUCAGAU